UCGCUUCAGCCUCCCAAAGUGCUGGGAUUAUAGGCGUGAGCCACUGUGCCCGGUCUUUUUCUUUAAUGUAGUAUUCACUGGGUUUUUUAAAUUAGUGUCAUAAGUCAGUUAUCCAAGUAGUUUUUCUCCUUUAUUUCAACAUUGACUUCUGACUUUUCCGAAUAUAGGAAUUCCUUCUGUCCUGUUAAGCAGUCCUUCGCUUUCUGCUUUUGGAUACUUAAGUGACCACCUCACUUUUUUGUGAUGCAGCUUGUUCAAUUUUUGGAUAGUUCUCGUGGACACAUGGAAAUGCUGAGUAGAACUAUGAUACAAAUCAGCUCACCAUAAAGUACAAUCUCCAGUGGCCAGAGAGAACUAAAAGGAAACUAAAAACCCGCAUGACACAGUUAACUUUGGGGCUUAAGAUGAGAUAAGGUAUAUACCAUUUAUGUGGUCUGUCAACACACGAAGUUAAAUAUUAACGUCAAGAAUCUCCCUGGACUGGCUUUACUCUCAGGCA
This 499-nucleotide long non-coding RNA is filed under the name Homo sapiens (human). RNAcentral's name for it is "HSALNT0346838". Lineage: Eukaryota; Metazoa; Chordata; Mammalia; Primates; Hominidae. The record is from RNAcentral.